This 73-nucleotide transfer RNA is filed under the name Ovis aries (sheep). It matches the Rfam family "tRNA". From Rfam's summary of the family: Transfer RNA (tRNA) molecules are approximately 80 nucleotides in length. Their secondary structure includes four short double-helical elements and three loops (D, anti-codon, and T loops). Lineage: Eukaryota; Metazoa; Chordata; Mammalia; Artiodactyla; Bovidae. The record is from Rfam by way of RNAcentral.
UCCCUGGUGGUCCAGUGGCUAAGACUCUGAGCUCCAGAUGCAGGGAGCCUGGGUUCAAUCCUUGGUCAGGGAA